CCCCUCUCAGGAUGGCACCUGGAGCGUUUCCAGUACUCUACCAGUCUCAGCUAUGGGAGGGAGAGUCAAGCAGAGGCAUAUCCAUUCCAUUCCUAGCUCCGGCAGUGGCUAGCGAGUGGAAGGCAAACUGCUACAAGU
Molecule: small nucleolar RNA, 138 nt
Filed under: Ornithorhynchus anatinus (platypus)
Lineage: Eukaryota; Metazoa; Chordata; Mammalia; Monotremata; Ornithorhynchidae
Source: RNAcentral